GACGAACGCUGGCGGCGUGCCUAAUACAUGCAAGUCGAGCGCAGGAAGCCGUCUGAACCCUUCGGGGGGACGACGGUGGAAUGAGCGGCGGACGGGGGAGUAACACGUAAAGAACCUGCCCAUAGGUCUGGGAUAACCACGAGAAAUCGGGGCUAAUACCGGAUGUGUCAUCGGACCGCAUGGUCCGCUUAGGAAAGGCGCUCCGGCGUCGCCCAUGGAUGGCUUUGCGGUGCAUUAGCUAGUUGGUGGGGUAACGGCCCACCAAGGCGACGAUGCAUAGCCGACCUGAGAGGGUGAACGGCCACACUGGGACUGAGACACGGCCCAGACUCCUACGGGAGGCAGCAGUAGGGAAUCUUCCACAAUGGACGAAAGUCUGAUGGAGCAACGCCGCGUGAACGAUGAAGGCUUUCGGGUCGUAAAGUUCUGUUGUAAGGGAAGAACAAGUGCCGCAGGCAAUGGCGGCACCUUGACGGUACCUUGCGAGAAAGCCACGGCUAACUACGUGCCAGCCGCCGCCGUAA
This 524-nucleotide ribosomal RNA is filed under the name uncultured bacterium. RNAcentral describes it as "partial 16S ribosomal RNA". It matches the Rfam family "Bacterial small subunit ribosomal RNA", at positions 28 to 523 of the family's 1533-position model. The record is from RNAcentral.